Molecule: long non-coding RNA, 331 nt
Organism: Mugil cephalus (flathead mullet)
Lineage: Eukaryota; Metazoa; Chordata; Actinopteri; Mugiliformes; Mugilidae
Exons: 3
Source: RefSeq, a predicted model, not a curated record
GCUCUUCACUCUGCUACUGGUUUUGUGUCAUGUCCUUACAGAGCCGACAGUUCCAGAGUGUCAUUCUCUGUCUGAUGGUCAUGAUGUUCAGCCAAAACCAAGCAGCUCUGCUCCUCAUUGUGCUGCUAGCGCGCCGUGUCUUUGCAGAGACCCCAGUAACUGACCACAGGGAUAUGCUGGUAUCCAGAGGAGACUCAGUCACGUUCCACUGCAACGUAUCCAGAGAAAAUGCUUCGGAAAUGACCUGGAACUUUAAAAGAUUAAUUUACAAACAUUCUAUCUUGAUAAAUCAGACUUUUUCAAAUAUAUCCUCUCACAGACUGAGAAUAGA